This is a long non-coding RNA of Patella vulgata (common limpet), 2325 nucleotides long. RefSeq lists it as uncharacterized. Lineage: Eukaryota; Metazoa; Mollusca; Gastropoda; Patellidae. The transcript has 2 exons. The record is from RefSeq and is a predicted model, not a curated record.
UAAGAUGGUGCUAAAUCAGAACUAGAGUAAGUACUAAAGAUGCAGGUUUUGAAUACAAUUCUUUAAUUCUGAUCAGAAUUUGAUAUAAGAAUAAAUAUUUUUUGGCUUAAACAUGGGAAAAUAUAUACUUGGUAACUAUCUAAUUUCAUGUUCUGUGUUUUUUUUGUAUGUUUUAUGUUGGUAUUAUUUCUGUCCAAUGAAUCCUGACGGUAGUGACAUGAUGAACCCAGGUCAAGGUCCACCACCCACGAGUAAAUAAAUCGAAUCUCGCCAUUGUUAUCAUAAUAUAUAUCUGUACAUAAGACACAUUGUCAUAGUUUACAUCUUCAACAUGAGGCUUAUUUCUUGCUACUGCAAUUACCCUGUCAGUUCAUCUAACAAAAGCGAGCUGAAGUAACAUUUAAUUCAACACAGUUGAUACGAAUAUACUAUGCCUGGGAAGGAGGCAGGGGUGGGUGCCCCAAAUUUUGAAAUAAACACUUAAAGGUACCUUUUUUUCUACCAAUUGCAAUCCCUAAUGAACAAAUGAAGGAAAAUUAACUUCGACCAACUGCAUUUUUUACCUUAUAUAUAUGUCCAUUAAAUCCAUAUGAAUUGUAGAAUUAUAUUGCAGUGGUAAUUAAUGUUAAGUUUUACAUUCAUUUGAUUCAUCUUGAAACAAUUAUAGUGCUGUAUUAAAAUGAAGAUUGAGGGCAUUUUAUUUUAUCAUAGAUUUUCUUUGUAUUUUUUCUACAUUUUAGCCAAAAUGAUAAAGAUGUCAUCAUAAUGUAUAUUUUUGCCUAGUGUCAGUGUUGUCAAUGUUUAUAAUAGUUUAAUAUCAUGGGCUGUUAGUAUCAUCAUCUAUACAUAUUCAUUACUUCAUUAAAGAAAAGCCAGAUUUUCACAAUCAAAUAUCUGUUUAUAUCUUGUAUUAAAGACGUGACAUUAUCAUUUCGAAAAUGUGAACUCAAUAAUGCAGGGAGGUUAAGUAAUGUAGUCUUUAUCAUUCCAGCCUAUAUUUUCCACACAUUAGAUUCAGGCGAAUAAUACUAGAUCUUUGUAUCAUCUGGAGAAUAUCUUUCUCCAGGGUUCGGGUUAGGUUUAUAAAUUACAUGUCAAACGUACAAAUUGAAGCUGUAACAACGGUGGAUUGUGGGUAAAACUAUUCUGAAGGGUUAGGGUUAGAAUUGUGGGUAUAAACACUGACAGAUAUUCUCCAGAUCGGUCAAGAUCCAGUAGCGUGCGAUUCAGGCAGCAUUUCGCAUUAGGAGUUACGUGAACAGCUCGACAACCAUUUACCAUAAAAGUAAUGAACGCUACCUCCCCCCCCCCCCCACUAAUAUUUUCGUUGUUGUCGAAACAAAGACGAUAUAGGGUGGAAUGAUCGAGACUAUAAUGGAAACAAAAGUUAACUGUGUAUUAAAGUCUUAGAUUGGAAAACAUAUUUGUUGCUGAAAACAUAUUUUGCUAGCUAAGAAUGGGCCCAUUCGGCUUCAAAUCAAAAAAUACGCUGCCAAUCCUCACUUAGUGGUAAACGGAAUGUGUGUGUGUUGCGAAUAGCUACCUCACUAGCCGUGCUGAUGAACAGUCUUGUACUAUUAAGUUGUUAACAAAUUUUCUUGUACAACUAGAUUACCAACUUAAUCUUGAGGCAACAUAUAUCGUUUAAGAUAUUUUGUAUUAAUAAUAUUAUCAAUGUAUAGAUCUUAAAUCCAGUUCGUUUACUAACAGUAUUACUAAUGAAUUUGUGUCCAGGUAUUUGACAUACAGACUUAUUACCCUGACCAAUUGCAUCAUUACCUAACAAGUUCUUAGGUAAAACAGGAAAGCUAUUACGAGAACUGAAAGCCCUUGAUGUUCCUUUUUGGAAUUACGGGGACAUUUCUCAUACAAUCGUCAACAAGAAAAACAUCAAGCACAGUAGACAUCGGAAAGGCUCUUGAUUUGGUUGACUUGGUAUUUCAUGAUGUCCGCUAUAGCCCUUUUGCUUCAAUCGCAUCCGGCGUUUGUCUUGUAGAUUAAUAUCGUUUUAAUUGAACGCAAAGAUUCCAGUGGUAAUGUCGUUUAAAUCUACAUGUUGAUAAGAUUAUUGGUAGAAUAAAAACAUCACAACAUCUUAUUAAGUAUUAAAAUCAAAAGACAACACCCGUAGUGAUAUUGCUGUGUAAACCUUAAAGUUGUAAGUGCUGUAUUAAUAACGACCUGUAAAUGAACUCUUUUUUUUUAAAAUGCCUGUACUUUUAUCACAAAUAUUUACGUCAAAUUUUACAUAUUGUUAUUGAUUUCAUACUUGUAAAUUUCCAUAAUAUCGUAUAAUUAUAACAAAAAAUAAAGCCUUAUACAUUA